CCGUGCUAAACGGGGAGAUAGCGGUGCCCUGUAACCCGCAAUCCGCUAUAGCGGGGUUGAAGCUUAUCCGAGGGCGUCCCUCUUUAGGGUCCGGCCGGCGCGGGCAGUGUUGAAGGUUGGGUCCUGCGCAAUGGGAACCCGUGAACCCCGUCAGGUCCGGGAGGAAGCAGCGGUAAGCGGUGCUUCUCAUGUGCCGCAGGGGGUCCUGACUGGAGCCGGCUACGUCGGUAUCGCCUGGGGAGGGCGUUCGAAGAUAAGUGCACGG
RNAcentral lists this signal recognition particle RNA (265 nucleotides) under Bacillota bacterium. RNAcentral's name for it is "signal recognition particle sRNA large type". It matches the Rfam family "Bacterial large signal recognition particle RNA". Rfam says of the family: The signal recognition particle (SRP) is a universally conserved ribonucleoprotein involved in the co-translational targeting of proteins to membranes. Archaeal SRP consists of a 7S RNA and homologues of the eukaryotic SRP19 and SRP54 proteins. RNAcentral also lists the same sequence under 1 other name. Lineage: Bacteria; Bacillati; Bacillota. The record is from RNAcentral.